CUAAAGUUGGUUGUCAACCGCCAUUUUAAAACCACUGAAGAAGAACCCCUCUUCCCAAUUUGCAAAGGAUGGUGGAAUAUUGACUGGACUAGGAUUCCCUUCACAAUGUUAAAAUUACAACUAUUUAACACGUUUCUUACCGACCGAUUAUCAGCGGCCGCUGUGGAAAUAUCUGGGGCAUUAAAAAAAUCGUUAGCAGUGUACCAGGAAGAACUAUCCGGUUCAAAGGAGGAGUUUGAACGUCUACAAAGGCUGCAAGAUCUGGUUUUGGAACCCGAGAUAAAGUUACUUGGAACAGAAGUGGUUUCUCCUGUGCAGAGUCAGCAAGAGGGGAGCCCCAGUUUAGGCCAAGACCCAGAUCCCACACAGAUUAAAAAUGAACAGGACCCUGAGCCAACACAGAUUAAAGAGGAAGAAGACCUCCGGACCAGUCCGAAAGAUCACACACAGAUUAAAGAGGAGUUCUGGGUCAGUCAGGGCGGAGACGAACUUCAAGGGCUGGAGUCUGAUAUAAAAGAGUUCAUAUUCAACCCUCCCUAUAUUAAAAGUGACUGAUCAGGACCCAUCUCAACUCAACCCUCACACCUUUACCAAAGUCAAAAUGUAAAGAACAGACUGAGUGACUCUACCUACCAACACAACUGAGCAGAUGGAAACAGAAGUGAAUGAAGAGAACUACAGUGUCUCUCAGCCCUUCUCUGCAGUAAAUUCAGAGUGCUCUGCUGAUGAGACGAGAACAAGAGAAAAUGCUUGGGUUGAGAAGGGAGAAACAUCGUCAGGGUUAAAGCGGAGUUGUGGAGGCAAAAAAAAUAUUGUUGCCAUGUCUGUGGCAAAUGCUUCGCACACAAUACUAAUCUGAGAAUCCAUAUGACUGUUCACACGGGGAAAAGCCAUAUAAAUGCAAAGACUGUGACAAAUGCUACAGUGCAAAGGCAGACCUGGUAAGGCAUAUGAGGAAUCGUCAUUAUUGGCCAGGGCAUGUUCUAGGAGGACAUUUUAAUCAGGAAACCCAUCAUACUGUGACAAACAAAGAUGCUUUAUUAAUGUGUGAUGACAAGGAGUUGCUGGGAAGAUACAUGCUUGAUCAGGCAAGAAUUACGUUUGUAUUGGAGUUAGUCAGAGACUCUCUCACGUCGUCAAAACAUCAAUGUCAAGCCAUUUCUCCUGAAGUUAAAUUACUAAUAAGCCUGGGUUACUUGGCCACAGGCAAGAUGCUUUGGGACUGUCAAGCUGUUCUGUAGCUCAUGUCAGAAUGGUGAUAACACAAACUAUCAAUGCCCUCUCUGAUCCUCAACUAGUAGGCCAAUUCGUUGCCUUCCCGCAAGAUGCCAGCCAGCUCCAACACAACCAAGCUACGUUUAAGGCAAUAGCUGGCUUCCCCAGUGUUGCUGGAGUCAUUGGCACAACUUUUAGAAGCAGCUCAGUAUUAAGUACAACAUACAACAAGGAGUUCAAGAAUUUCCCUGGAGACCCAAUUAUUUUAAUCGACACCCACGUGGUGUUCGAUGCACACUGCAAGGUUCUCUAUGUUGUGCCGGAGAGUGUUGCUCAGGAGAUACUGAGUGAGGGUGGCCUCAAACAGAUUGAGGGGCUUCUUGCGCUUGCUGGAUAUAACUUGUUGGGGGACAGUGGAUACCCCUGCAGACAAUGGCUGCUCACAUCUUACUUCCAUCCACUGCCUGGCCCACAGUUGAACUACAACAGGGAACUUAAGAAAACGUGAGAUGUAAUGAGGAGGGGCAUCAGCCAAAUGAGGAGAUUUCCCAUUCUGCAAGCAGACAUCCAGUUGAAGCCGGAGAGGGUGAGCAGGAUUUAUUAUCAUCUGUGCCAUCCUGCAUAAUAUCUGCCGUGACAGGAAUAUCCCACUGCCUGAGGGGGAAGACGACGACGAUGAUGAUGAUGAUGACGAAGACAAUGAUGUCAAAGUGAAAGAUGAUGGCUGAAGAGAAUGGGCCAGUAGAGAGCCUGCCCCCAAGUGAUCUUCACUACAGACUCUACUUUACUGAUCUACAUUUCAAGUAGGCUGUAGAACAGACCCUGAAUGUGUGGCUAUCACAAGUGCUGUACAUGAGUUAGCUACAAACAAUAUGGAAAUAUGUGUUUAUCGAUCAGUUACAGUUCAACUGUCACAAGGGUGAGUUAUUGUUGAUUUUAAGAAUACAUCAUUAACCCUGUUACAGGCACUUUGUCACUUUUAGUCACUUUUGUAAUCAUUUUUCUUAAUUUAACAGCUUGAGAUGAGGAAAACGUGUUUGUUACGAAGUUGAACAUGUGCUCUUUAUGGCAAUGCUACAAUUAGCUGAAGUGUAUAGUUAUUAUUUUUUUACAAAAUUACACUAACCAGAAGGCACGCCAUUUGUGGAAUGGCUCACAUUUUUUUUUUUUGGGACAACAACAACACUCUGGGCUCCCAAGUGGCGCAGAGGUCUAAGGCACUGCAUUUCGGUGCUUGAGGUGUCACUACAAACCCUGGUUCAAUCCCGGGCUGUAUCACAACUGGCCGUGAUCGGGAGUCCCAUAGGGCGGCGCAAAAUUUUGGUUUGGGUUUGGCCGGGGUAGGCGGUCAUUGUAAAUAAGAAUUUGUUCUUAACCUUUAUUUAACUAGACAAGUCAGUUAUAUGAAUGGGUGUAAUUUUCCCUGACACCAAUUUUUUUAACUCUAAAAUGCUAUUUGGAGAACAGCAAAUUACCUCAGCCGUUAUCACAUUGGUUGCUGUAGUUUCAUUCACCACAGUCGAUCUACAAACACAUUUUGUCUUGUAAUUUCACACUGGGAUGGUGCAUUGAAACAAUUAGCUAGCAUAAUUAUAUAAUUUCUUGCACAGCCGCCUUGCUAGCUAGCAAACUUGAAUGAUGCUCAGAAAUUAGCUACUCUCGAGGGAUCACUAUGGUAGCUAGCUAUGGUUAGCGACGACAUGAUAAUGAUGGCAAUUUCAUUAUAUGUUCAUGCCACUAUAGUGUAACUUCGACGAAACAGUUGUUAGCCUCUUUCUAUCACGACUUUUGGGCACCUCUCCUUGCCCAUCGACUCCCAUUUCUGGGUGUCAAGGUUAAUCGACUCUUAAGAUUCAUUAUUUUUCCAAAGGAGGAAACUAUUUGCUAUAGUCUACUUCAAGAGCGAGCUAGCGAGGGAGAGAGAACGAUGGGAGGGGGGCACAGCCAGGCAUAGGUAGGUGUGUCGGCCAACAGGUAGAAAGUCACAACUGUGCAUCGCUAAUCAAAAGAUGUAUCCCAAUGCAGUAUUUAGCAAUUUCUUGACAAAAAAAAUGUAACCUUUAUUUAACUAGGCAAGUCAGGUAAGAACAAAUUCUUAUGUACACUGACGGCCUGGCAAAAGGCCUCCUGCGGGGACGGGACCUGGGAUAAAAAUAAAUACAAUAUAAAUAUAGGACAAAACACGCAUCACAACAAGAGAGGCAACACUACAUAAAGAGAGACGCAAGGCAGCAACACAUGACAACAUGGUAGCAGCACAAAACAUGGUACAAACAUGAUUGGGCACAGUCAACAGCACAAAGGUCAAGAAGGUAAAGAUAACAAUACACCACACAAAGCAGCUAAAAAUGUCUGUAAGAGUGUCCAUGAUUGAGUCUUUGAAUGAAGAGAUUGAACUAAAACUGUCCAGUUUGAGUGUUUGUUGCAGCUCGUUCAAGUUGCUAGCUGUAGCGAACUGAAUAUGUGAGCGACCCAGGGAUGUGUGUGUUGGCAGAAUGGGUGUUGUAUGCAGUGUCUCGCGCAAGUUCACUAAAGUUGGGUUUUUUGAUUAAUAGGCUGAGCUAUUCUUCAUGCAACAGACCUUAAACCAAACACACACUAGGGUUUUUACAUUUUUUUUAUAGCUAAGAUAGAGGAUCGGGGCAGACAAACAGAACCGUGCGCAUAGGGUUUAUAUUGGUGUAUCUAGCAAUGUCUUGUUUAGCAAAGCCUCAUAAGUUAGUAUGGCUACUCUAUUCUUCAUAGUGCCAGUAAAUUUAAGUUUAACAUCGCCAAAUGCAUCAGUUUAAUUAGCCCUCAGUGUGCAAUAAAAGUAUUGUGCCUAUAGUUUAUUUAAUGAAACCCUGGCUGGCUGUUGAUGUCAGGGCUCUCCAACCUUGUUCCUGUUGACCUGCCUUCCUGUGGUUUUUCGCUCCAACCCCAGUUGUAACUAAUCCGAUUGUUUAUCAACCAGCUAAUAAUUGAAUUAAAUGCUCUAGAUCAGGGUUGGAGUGAACCUACAGCAUGGUAGCUCUACGACAAGAACUGGGUUGGAAAGCCCUGGCCUAGGCAAUAGAUCGCAAAGCAGCAUCCCGCUAAACUUUUUUGGAAAUGUCAAUUUCACUUUCACAUCCAUAAACAGUCAAGUGCAAAUACGGUUCAGCUGGUUGGGGGCAUUGUUGUUUGGAAGGACGUCUACCAUGGAUCACUAAAAUAAUUAUGAUCACGCUCUGUGGCGACCCGUCAUUCAGGGAAAGUGGUGCAGAGACCCACAUUUUAAAAACCUCUGACUCCCCAUCCCGCAUGAGGGAGCGUAAUCAUCGACUGACACUAAUUAGCAUAACGCAACGGACAUAAAUAUUCCUAGAAAUAUUCCUAUUCAUGAAAAUCACAAAUG
This is a long non-coding RNA of Oncorhynchus masou masou (cherry salmon), 4591 nucleotides long. RefSeq lists it as uncharacterized. The record is from RefSeq and is a predicted model, not a curated record. The transcript is spliced from 3 exons. Lineage: Eukaryota; Metazoa; Chordata; Actinopteri; Salmoniformes; Salmonidae.